Molecule: ribosomal RNA, 406 nt
Filed under: uncultured bacterium
Lineage: Bacteria
Description: bacterial SSU rRNA
Rfam family: Bacterial small subunit ribosomal RNA
Source: RNAcentral
ACCGACGAUGGAUAGGGGUUCUGAGAGGAAGGUCCCCCACAUUGGUACUGAGACACGGACCAAACUCAUACGGGAGGCAGCAGUGAGGAAUAUUGGUCAAUGGGCGUAAGCCUGAACCAGCCAAGUCGCGUGAGGGAUGAAGGUUUAUGGAUCGUAAACCUCUUUUAUAAGGGAAUAAGUGCGGGACGUGUCCCGUUUUGUAUGUACCUUAUGAAUAAGGAUCGGCUAACUCCGUGCCAGCAGCCGCGGUAAUACGGAGGAUCCGAGCGUUAUCCGGAUUUAUUGGGUUUAAAGGGUGCGUAGGCGGCCUUUUAAGUCAGCGGUGAAAGUCUGUGGCUCAACCAUAGAAUUGCCGUUGAAACUGGGGGGCUUGAGUAUGUUUGAGGCAGGCGGAAUGCGUGGUGUA